UAACCAUAGAUUUGCGUAGGUGUUGUGCACAGAGGUGUUACAUAAUAGUCUGUCCAUGACGCCUAGGCAUACCCGUGGUUG
Molecule: microRNA precursor, 81 nt
Filed under: Capitella teleta
Lineage: Eukaryota; Metazoa; Annelida; Polychaeta; Capitellidae
Description: mir-242_2 microRNA precursor family
Rfam family: mir-242_2 microRNA precursor family
Source: Rfam by way of RNAcentral